Molecule: long non-coding RNA, 1770 nt
Organism: Taeniopygia guttata (zebra finch)
Lineage: Eukaryota; Metazoa; Chordata; Aves; Passeriformes; Estrildidae
Source: Ensembl
AUGGAGCAGAAACCCCUAAGAGUGCCCAAGCUGGCCGGGGUGGAGGAAGAGGACAAAGGCCCUGGAGCUGCCCCAGGGCAUGAGACUGAAGAGGUGGUGCCAUUCAAGCAGCUGCAGGAGGAUGCAGCCCUGGAGCGGACACAAGAACAGGAACCCGCCCGUGGCCGCUUCCGCAGAACAGCGCAGACCAUCCGUCAAUUCAUCACGUGCAUUUGGCAGGAAGAGAGCACAGGUGUGGGCACCGGGAUCUUGGCAAGCUUUCACCUCUUCAGUGCCGAGACCAGUGCUGCCAUGCUGGAUUUGCUGGUGGAGAAGGGUGUCUCCAAUGCAAAGCAAGUGCCAGCCAUGGUGAGGUACAUCCACCGGUGGCUCACGGCCAACGAGUCUGCUGAGCACAGGCUGGACAAGGCCCUUCUGGAGCUGACCAAGGAAUACCCCUCUGACGUGCUGAUCACUCUCUUGCGCUGGGCCCCAUCGUGUGACAGAGCUGCCGUGACCAUGUGGGGGACCAUCAUGUCCUCGAGCAGGACCGCCGAGCCGGCGCUGCAGAUCCUCCUCGAUGUGCUGAGCGCCUGGCCAGAGGACAGCGUGUACACCUCUGAUGGGGACAGCACAGGGGUCUUUGCCCUGGCUGCAACAGUAACAAUGUGGAGGGUCUUCAAUCUGACCUGGUGCCCACCUGUAGUGCAGGUAUAUUUCCCCAAUCUCCUUCUGCGUCUGCUCUUCCAAGCUUACAUCAGCACGCUGGAUAUGCCAGAAGAGGUGGAUACCUUCUGGAAGAGAUGCCAGGAGCAACACGACCUUGCUGCCCACCCCAACAGCUUUGCACUGCAGACCCUGAAGGCCCUGCUCUGCCAAAUGCAGUACGAGGACGUGGUGCUAGCAAUGGAACGCAGGUGUGCCUGGAACAUGCUGCUCUGUGCCCACACCCACCAUUAUGCAGUGGGUCUGCUGGCCAGGGAGAUGCGCCGUGUCUCCAUCAUCUGGCGCUGCAGGAUCGCAUCCUGCCUCUUUGACCUACUCAGCCAAGACAUUUCAGCCUGGGAACUGCCCGCCCUGACGUUCCUGGUGGAGGUGAGCCCGAUGGCCAGCGCUGCCUCGCUCAGCUGCCUCCCACGCCUCUGCCCUCUGGUAGCCGCAGCUGCCUGGGAUGGUGCCCUGUGCUGCUGCCUUGGCUCAGCCCUGUGCGGUUCUGAGCUCCUGCCAGCUGGGCACUCCUGUCACUGCUCUGUGCCUUUCAGGUCCUGGACUGCCUGGACUUGAGUGAAUGCGGUGAAAAGGUCCUGCAGAUCAUGACAAGGCACCUGAAGAGACGGUCCAGAGAGAUGCGUCGCGUGGCGCUCAGAGGCCUCGUGGUGCUCAGCCAGGACCCCUCGAUGGUGAGAAGGAGGCAGCAGCUGAAGCUGUGCUGGCAGCCUGGGGCUGGGGAAAGCAGCCCCGUGGGCUUGGCUGGGCUUUGGGAGCUGUGGCAGCUGCUCCCAGCUCUCCAGGGUCACUGUUCAGCUGCCUGAGUGCUCUGGGACAGGCCUUCGGCCUCUGAGCCCUGCAGCAGCAGCAGCAGCGUCGGGUUGCCCAGCCUUGUUUUCCACACAGAACCAAAGAAUGUACAGCCUGACUGAAAGCCUUGGCAACCUCCUGCGGGCCGUGGAUGAAGACAUUGUUGAGAUGACCGUCGUUGUUCUCAGCUCUCUGCUCUUCAACAAAGAGAUAGCAAUAGCCAGCCCCAUCGCCCUGCAGCUGGCUGAGGCGCUCUGGCAACUCUUCGACAAU